Molecule: long non-coding RNA, 2549 nt
Organism: Chelonia mydas (Green sea turtle)
Lineage: Eukaryota; Metazoa; Chordata; Testudines; Cheloniidae
Exons: 3
Source: RefSeq, a predicted model, not a curated record
GGGAAGGAGCCGCCCGGGCGCCGGCGAAAACUCCUGGGAACGGGAGGGAGGCGGGAGAGGCCAGCGCGGCUGGAGUGCUGGGCUCGGGGCCCAGCGCGGCGCGAGGGAAGAACGGCGGGCGGGCCAGAGCCUAGCCAGGCUUUGGGUGGGCUCCGCGCUUACAGGGGGCGGAACGGCCCUGUCCGGCCGCGCGGGGGCGACACACACAAGGUGCCGGGCCUGGCCUUUCUCUGCAGCCUGCGCCGCCCUCUCCAUCGCCCCGUUCAGGGGAGGGGGUUCAUGGAGGCUGCUGGCCCGCUCGGGGCGGGGCCGGCUCCAGGGCUCUGCCCCGCGCGCAGCCCUCAGCGGCCUGGGGUCAGCGGCCAGGGGAGAAAACGGCAGGUGGCUCCGGCCACAGUCGGGUCAUGAGGAGAUCGUCAGAGGCCCAGCCCCCUCACGCGCCCCAGCAGUGGCCCCAGGGUGGGGCAAGCUGUCGGUACCGCACAGGGUCACACGGAACGUUUUCGCUACGAACGGGGCUGGGAGCAAGACGCUGUUCACGGGGGUAUCUGUGUAAUUCAGAUUCUAAGUCCCCUGCACUCGGGGAACUUUUACCGUCGGCCUCCAUGUUGUAGAAGCCCAGUGACACUGCUGAAUGUCCUAAAGACCUGCAGAAUGGUACAUCCUGCAGCAUCCGGGAGAGUAGGGUGUUGACCUUCCUCAUUUGUGGAGCCUAGGCACAAAUCACUAAGCAGGCUAUAAUGUCAUAUGAGAACACAUUCCAGGAAUCUCUAUGAAGAUAACAGAAACCCUGUAACAUCAAGCCAAUCAAGUAGAGAAGAGAAGGACAUGGAACUACUAAAGGCUGAAUGUCCAACAAUGUAGCUGCUACUGAGAACUAGCCCUUUCCAGAAUAUGAAACUCAUAGUGCUUCUUGCUUGUUCUCAGCCUAAACUUGUUAGCUGAGUUACUUUGUUUCUUCAGUGCAUUUUGGGCUGCUGACAUUGUAGGGAACGUAGCUAGAACUGUAUAUGUGGAGGCCAAGUCACUAGGUUUGGAGGGUUCAGUGUUCACAUUACUAUCUCCACUGCCACAAUAACGAUGUUGGUGUUGCUGUUGUGUCUGUAGACACUGGGGAUUCCUUAGCCACCGAAUCUUGGCACCAACUUUAAAAAGUUCUCCAAAUAGUUUUUCAGCUUCCAUACGAGUUAUUCCUUCUGGCAGUUCAGUAAUUUCUAAGACUUUUCCAACAACUGAAACAAGAAAUAUGUAGAAUUAAAACUGGUCAUUACAUUUAACAAGGAUUCAAUCUUACAUAAAAUAGUGAAGUUACAGUAGAUCUGAAAUUAACUCUGUCAAACAAACAUACAUUCUGCUUUUACUAUUUUUAAAAAGUCUUUAUGGCACUGAACAUCAAAACUAUUAAAGUUCCAAGUGCAUUCAACUGGAGUUAAGCAUGCAGGCUAAAAGGUAGUACCAGGCGCUAAAUAAUUAAUAGUUUAUCUUAUAUGAACAUUUAGUUUGCAGCAAGCUGGGGUGAGAGUCUAUUCCACCCUGCUGCCCAUAGGGACCCUGCUGAUGCAUACCUUACCGUUUCAUAGUACGGUAGAUCAAAGUGCAGUAACUGUGCGCGUCAGCAGGCUCCCUAAGAACAGUUAGUCUUAAAUCCUCAGUUCUGACUUAAGGGCUUAUCUGCAUGAACUUGUAGUUAGCAGCAAGUUGGGGUGUGAAUGCAUCCUGCACUAACACUUGGAUGAUCUAUUAAUGGGAUAAAAAAUAUGGUUGCAAUAAAAAUGUGGGACAGCGAGAACUGUGACUUGCUUCACUCACAGCAAUGUAAAACUUACAAGAAAACACAGCUUUGGCUAUCUGCUCUCAUGGCAGAGACUACCUAAGGAAAGCAGCCCAGCUUCCUUCUGUAUUCACUGAUCCACAAAGAGAGUUGGUGGUAAUACACAAAACAAUUCUUUGCCAUCACAAAAAAAUCAUUUAUCUGAGGAUUUCAAAAUGAUUUACAAAAAUUAAACCUCACAGUACCCAUUUCACAUAUAGAUAAACUGAGGAACUUAAAUGAUUUGUUCAAGGUGUCACAGACAGAACUAAGUUCUAUAUAUGUUGUCAAAGAGCAAAUAAUGCCAGCUGGGGGAAGGAGGAUGUUAGUUUCCCCCUUGUGCACCUGAUCUUGUCCAGUCAAAAUGAACUCUCCCCCAAAUCUCCUUUCAGGGCCUAUCUAACAACCCAACAGAGAAAUAGAUUUUGAACAGUCAAUGGAACACAGUCCUAGCAUUCUGGCCAUGCCCUGCCCCAUUUAUUAGGUAGCACUUGUUGCCCGUGGUCUGCACAAUGGAGAGAGGUUGUACCUUUGUUCCACCCAUCAUAUUUAUUGGCAACAAAUGCAGUGUUCUGAUUUGUCAGGAAAAAAAAUAUGUAAAUCAGGAAUGAAUUUAGUUGAUGUAUUACAUUCAUAGUUCUGGUAAGCUAAGGGAAGUUAUGGAAGAAUUUUGUAUAAUAUUAAACAUGUAACUUACAAAUAUUUUGGUAUUAACUUUUAUAUUAAAUAAUUUUACUUA